RNAcentral lists this microRNA precursor (98 nucleotides) under Pelobates cultripes (western spadefoot toad). The record is from RNAcentral. Lineage: Eukaryota; Metazoa; Chordata; Amphibia; Anura; Pelobatidae.
AAUUGUAAAUUCUAAUAAUAAUGAUGGCCAGAAGCCUUUGCUGUAAAGGUUAUUACCUUUACAGCAAAGGCUUCUGGCCAUCAUUAUUAUUAUCAGUU